This 429-nucleotide ribosomal RNA is filed under the name bacterium. Its description in RNAcentral is "partial 16S ribosomal RNA". It matches the Rfam family "Bacterial small subunit ribosomal RNA", at positions 355 to 776 of the family's 1533-position model. The record is from RNAcentral.
UAGGGAAUCUUCCACAAUGGGCGCAAGUCUGAUGGAGCAACGCCGCGUGAGUGAAGAAGGUUUUCGGAUCGUAAAGCUCUGUUGUUGGUGAAGAAGGAUAGAGGCAGUAACUGGUCUUUAUUUGACGGUAAUCAACCAGAAAGUCACGGCUAACUACGUGCCAGCAGCCGCGGUAAUACGUAGGUGGCAAGCGUUGUCCGGAUUUAUUGGGCGUAAAGCGAGCGCAGGCGGAAUGAUAAGUCUGAUGUGAAAGCCCACGGCUCAACCGUGGAACUGCAUCGGAAACUGUCAUUCUUGAGUGCAGAAGAGGAGAGUGGAAUUCCAUGUGUAGCGGUGGAAUGCGUAGAUAUAUGGAAGAACACCAGUGGCGAAGGCGGCUCUCUGGUCUGCAACUGACGCUGAGGCUCGAAAGCAUGGGUAGCGAACAGG